Molecule: small nuclear RNA, 105 nt
Organism: Antechinus flavipes (yellow-footed antechinus)
Lineage: Eukaryota; Metazoa; Chordata; Mammalia; Dasyuromorphia; Dasyuridae
Source: RefSeq, a predicted model, not a curated record
UUGCUUCAGCAGCACACAGACUAAAAUUGGAACAAUAAACAGAAAGAUUAGCAUGCUCCCCUGUGCAAAAAUGCUAUGCAAAUUUGUGAAAAAUUCUAUCUUACU